RNAcentral lists this unclassified non-coding RNA (253 nucleotides) under uncultured Acidobacteriota bacterium. RNAcentral describes it as "uncultured Acidobacteria bacterium contains 16S-23S intergenic spacer region". It matches the Rfam family "Bacterial small subunit ribosomal RNA", at positions 524 to 776 of the family's 1533-position model. Lineage: Bacteria; Pseudomonadati; Acidobacteriota. The record is from RNAcentral.
UACGGGGGGGGCAAGCGUUGUUCGGAAUUACUGGGCGUAAAGGGUUCGUAGGCGGCCCGCUAAGUCAGACGUGAAAUCCCUCGGCUCAACCGGGGAACUGCGUCUGAGACUGGCGGGCUUGAGUCCGGGAGAGGGAUGCGGAAUUCCAGGUGUAGCGGUGAAAUGCGUAGAUAUCUGGAGGAACACCGGUGGCGAAGGCGGCAUCCUGGACCGGCACUGACGCUGAGGAACGAAAGCCAGGGGAGCAAACGGG